RNAcentral lists this ribosomal RNA (434 nucleotides) under uncultured Eubacterium sp. RNAcentral describes it as "bacterial SSU rRNA". It matches the Rfam family "Bacterial small subunit ribosomal RNA", at positions 958 to 1393 of the family's 1533-position model. The record is from RNAcentral. Lineage: Bacteria; Bacillati; Bacillota; Clostridia; Eubacteriales; Eubacteriaceae.
AACGCGAAGAACCUUACCAAAUCUUGACAUCCCGAUGACAGACUGUGUAAAGCAGUUUCUCUUCGGAGCAUCGGUGACAGGUGGUGCAUGGUUGUCGUCAGCUCGUGUCGUGAGAUGUUGGGUUAAGUCCCGCAACGAGCGCAACCCUUGUCUUUAGUAGCCAGCAUUUAGGAUGGGCACUCUAGAGAGACUGCCAGGGAUAACCUGGAGGAAGGUGGGGAUGACGUCAAAUCAUCAUGCCCCUUAUGAUUUGGGCUACACACGUGCUACAAUGGCGUAAACAAAGAGAAGCAAAGGAGUGAUCCGGAGCAAAUCUCAAAAAUAACGUCUCAGUUCGGAUUGUAGUCUGCAACUCGACUACAUGAAGCUAGAAUCGCUAGUAAUCGCGAAUCAGAAUGUCGCGGUGAAUACGUUCCCGGGUCUUGUACACACGC